CAUUACUCUUCUUUAUAGAUAAAAAUCUGGUGUGCAACCACACUACUUUCAUAAUACCUGCAAUGCUUUAAAAAAAAAAAAAAAAAAAAAAAAAAAAUGGGGAAGUAAAAAAUCCAAGUACCGACCAAACCCAAAGUUGCUUAACUCGACAUUUUUAUAUUGUUUUUAGGUGUAAAUACGUAUAUUAAGCAUGUUUUAUUCUAAUAAAUUUUCUCAUAAAAUGUACCAUUUCGGAGUAAAUUGCGAAAAAACGUAAGUGGAUCGGAAAAUCGUUUGAUUAAUCGACCCAAAAAAGUUGGUCGAUUUUUACGAAAAUGUUACAGUCGCGUCCCAUAGGUACCCUAAGUAUGCAUAAAAAGUUUCAAGUUCCUACGACCUACCGUUUUUGAGAUAUUUUGUAUACACACACACACACACACACGGACAUACAUACAUACAGACCUUGGUCGAAAAUCGAACUUUUUUCAAAAUUUCUUGCCGAAUUAGAGCUUUUACACUAGGAAUCCGAAAAGUCGAAAAUCGACCCGAAAACAAAACUUUCAUAUUACCUAUAGG
This 555-nucleotide long non-coding RNA is filed under the name Olea europaea subsp. europaea. Lineage: Eukaryota; Viridiplantae; Streptophyta; Magnoliopsida; Lamiales; Oleaceae. The record is from RNAcentral.